This 497-nucleotide ribosomal RNA is filed under the name uncultured bacterium. Its description in RNAcentral is "partial 16S ribosomal RNA". It matches the Rfam family "Bacterial small subunit ribosomal RNA", at positions 28 to 507 of the family's 1533-position model. The record is from RNAcentral.
GAUGAACGCUGGCGGCGUGCCUAAUACAUGCAAGUCGAGCGAACGGACGAGAAGCUUGCUUCUCUGAUGUUAGCGGCGGACGGGUGAGUAACACGUGGAUAACCUACCUAUAAGACUGGGAUAACUUCGGGAAACCGGAGCUAAUACCGGAUAAUAUUUUGAACCGCAUGGUUCAAAAGUGAAAGACGGUCUUGCUGUCACUUAUAGAUGGAUCCGCGCUGCAUUAGCUAGUUGGUAAGGUAACGGCUUACCAAGGCAACGAUGCAUAGCCGACCUGAGAGGGUGAUCGGCCACACUGGACCUGAGACACGGUCCAGACUCCUACGGGAGGCAGCAGUAGGGAAUCUUCCGCAAUGGGCGAAAGCCUGCCGGAGCAACGCCGCGUGAGUGAUGAAGGUCUUCGGAUCGUAAAACUCUGUUAUUAGGGAAGAACAUAUGUGUAAGUAACUGUGCACAUCUUGACGGUACCUAAUCAGAAAGCCGCGGCUAACUACGUG